AUUGAACGCUGGCGGCAUGCCUUACACAUGCAAGUCGAACGGCAGCACGGGAGCAAUCCUGGUGGCGAGUGGCGAACGGGUGAGUAAUACAUCGGAACGUGCCCAAUCGUGGGGGAUAACGCAGCGAAAGCUGUGCUAAUACCGCAUACGAUCUACGGAUGAAAGCAGGGGAUCGCAAGACCUUGCGCGAAUGGAGCGGCCGAUGGCAGAUUAGGUAGUUGGUGAGGUAAAGGCUCACCAAGCCGUCGAUCUGUAGCUGGUCUGAGAGGACGACCAGCCACACUGGGACUGAGACGCGGCCCAGACUCCUACGGGAGGCAGCAGUGGGGAAUUUUGGACAAUGGGCGAAAGCCUGAUCCAGCCAUGCCGCGUGCAGGAUGAAGGCCUUCGGGUUGUAAACUGCUUUUGUACGGAACGAAACGGCCUUUUCUAAUAAAGAGGGCCAAUGACGGUACCGUAAGAAUAAGCACCGGCUAACUACGUGCCAGCAGCCGCGGUAAUACGUAGGGUGCAAGCGUUAAUCGGAAUUACUGGGCGUAAAGCGUGCGCAGGCGGUUAUGUAAGACAGUUGUGAAAUCCCCGGGCUCAACCUGGGAACUGCAUCUGUGACUGCAUAGCUAGAGUACGGUAGAGGGGGAUGGAAUUCCGCGUGUAGCAGUGAAAUGCGUAGAUAUGCGGAGGAACACCGAUGGCGAAGGCAAUCCCCUGGACCUGUACUGACGCUCAUGCACGAAAGCGUGGGGAGCAAACAGG
RNAcentral lists this ribosomal RNA (753 nucleotides) under uncultured Comamonadaceae bacterium. RNAcentral's name for it is "bacterial SSU rRNA". It matches the Rfam family "Bacterial small subunit ribosomal RNA", at positions 28 to 776 of the family's 1533-position model. Lineage: Bacteria; Pseudomonadati; Pseudomonadota; Betaproteobacteria; Burkholderiales; Comamonadaceae. The record is from RNAcentral.